CAAUCAUUCACACCUGUUAAAUGGAAAGCCAGGAAAACACGGGUAAACUUCGUUUCUUUGACCAUUUGGAUUCCCUGUUCGCCUUUAAACAACGCAGGGGAAAUACUUAAAGUGGCUUGACAGAGCACCUGGUGUGAGCGGAGCUGGAAAUCCUUAUUGAUUACUGCUUUACGUAAGUGGUCUCUGGCUGUAUGGCUUCCUCGCUGUAUCCUCUCCCGGACUGCAAGAGGGCAACAAAAGUAGAGAUGAAAAUCCAGAGGGAGAGACUCACCUGCAUCCCAAGAACUUUACAGAACACCCUCCAGAACUGGGAGAUGAACUGUGGCCUUCUUUCAGAGACGAUGUCAACAGGAAGUCUGUGUAGGCGAAACAUCUUUCAGGACAGGAUCUUUUCCAAUUCUUUGGAGGAGGGGAGCUCGAUGAGUGGAACCAGGUGAGUCGUCUUGGAGAGGCCAUCUUGUUUCUCUACUAUGGUGGCGAUGGUGGUAGGUGGUUUGAUCCCACUGCCUCUGUCAUCUUAUCCAAGGGCAAGACACUUCACCUGCUGGUGGGGGUCAAAGGUGAAUCUGUGCAUGAAUGGGUGAAUGUCUGAAUGUCGUAUGAAGCGCUUUGGUUUGUUUUUUUGAACUUCUCCAGCUUCACUUCAAGACCUAAAUGACACAACAGGGCAAUGGUUCCAAACAGAAUAAAUAAAAUAGAUAAAAGAAGCAAACCUCAUUGAAUGUUGACUAGACCUGACCUCAACCCUGUUGAAUAUGUAUCAGUUAUACCUACAUGCACUGUCUGCACAAGGAAACCAACCAAUUUAAGUAAGCAUGACUAUUUGUGGUGAAAGGAGAGGUUUCUUUGACAUUUUACUUGUUGGAAAUAAAAAAAGAUUUAAUUUCAAAUAGCUAUUCAGAAUGUUGCUAAUGACCCUGUCAUUAUCUAGGUAGGAAUCCAGGCUUCUAAGUAGAAAAUUGUCUGUCCAGAAAAAAAACCUAAUAAAAAUUACAGUGCAGCCUCUUUAAAGUUUUUAUUGGUCUAAUAAGACACCGGCAGCAUUGAAAUUUGUAUUUUA
Long non-coding RNA from Xiphophorus couchianus (Monterrey platyfish), 1060 nucleotides. RefSeq lists it as uncharacterized. Lineage: Eukaryota; Metazoa; Chordata; Actinopteri; Cyprinodontiformes; Poeciliidae. The record is from RefSeq and is a predicted model, not a curated record. The transcript is spliced from 3 exons.